AUUGUGUGUGCGCGUGUCGAACUCAAAAUUGAAUUAUGGAAUCAAAGUCACAUCAUAACCCACCUAUUGCGUAUAUUUUGAAGCCCGAACUCAAUUCUUAAAUUCGAGAAGGGAAAAAGACCGAGAAGCAGAUGAGAGCUGCAUCACUAAUAGACGGGAAGGAGAUAUGGCCUUCCCUUUGAGAAAUAUGAAUCUUAGUGGCUCCAAAAAUCUGGUCAAGUUGCCUGAUUUCAAAAGAUUUCCAAAUCUUAAGCGAUUAGACCUUGAAGGAUGCACGCAAUUAUCACGGCUUGAUGUAUCUAUUGCUUAUCUUUCAAUUCUCAAAUUCUUAAAUUUGAGAAAUUGUAUUAAUCUAGUUAGUAUUCCAAAUCACUUAUUUUCUCUACCCUCUUUAAAAGUUUUAAAUUUAGCUGGUUGUUCCAAAUUUGCAUAUUGUUUGAAAUUUUGUCCUUUUGAGGAGCGUGAUGAAAGAGAAGCCAUUGAACAAUCAUUUUCCCACAGGAGACAGAAGCUAUGUAGACAAAAAUCUAUAUAAGUGUGCUUUGUAUUCAGUAAUGCUGUAUCAUUUAUUACUUACUGAUUUAUUCUUCCAUCUAUGCUA
Neltuma alba is the source of this 601-nucleotide long non-coding RNA. RefSeq lists it as uncharacterized. The record is from RefSeq and is a predicted model, not a curated record. Lineage: Eukaryota; Viridiplantae; Streptophyta; Magnoliopsida; Fabales; Fabaceae. The transcript has 2 exons.